Molecule: long non-coding RNA, 332 nt
Organism: Salvia hispanica
Lineage: Eukaryota; Viridiplantae; Streptophyta; Magnoliopsida; Lamiales; Lamiaceae
Source: RefSeq, a predicted model, not a curated record
AAUCCAUACAAGACUACUAUAUAUCCAAAGCAAACCCUAGGGUUUCUUCCCAUUGCGAUAUCCAAUAUCCGCAUUGCGUUCAAAGAGGCGAUUCCUUAUCUAGAGUUUCUCCUUCAACAAUGAGAGCUAAGUGGAAGAAGAAGCGUAUGAGGAGGUUGAAGAGGAAGCGCCGAAAGAUGAGACAGAGAUCCAAGUAGAGGCGUCCGGCGCGCCGUCUCUAGGGUUUUAUCUUCGUUUACAUUAUCUAUUUUUCGAAUUUUGUUAUGUAGUGGAUUAUGACUCCUCUAAACUACAAGUUUUUGGAUCGUUUUAAGCAAUUGAGGUUUUCGUUA